This 223-nucleotide unclassified non-coding RNA is filed under the name uncultured Pseudomonadota bacterium. RNAcentral describes it as "uncultured proteobacterium contains 16S-23S intergenic spacer region". Lineage: Bacteria; Pseudomonadati; Pseudomonadota. The record is from RNAcentral.
UCGCGGCUUAUCACCGGCAGUCCCCUUAGAGUGCCCAACUGAAUGAUGGCAACUAAGGGCGAGGGUUGCGCUCGUUGCGGGACUUAACCCAACAUCUCACGACACGAGCUGACGACAGCCAUGCAGCACCUGUCUCACGGUUCCCGAAGGCACCAAUCCAUCUCUGGAAAGUUCCGUGGAUGUCAAGGCCAGGUAAGGUGGGGAUGACGUCUCUAGGAGGGUG